Bubalus bubalis (water buffalo) is the source of this 3283-nucleotide long non-coding RNA. RefSeq lists it as uncharacterized. Lineage: Eukaryota; Metazoa; Chordata; Mammalia; Artiodactyla; Bovidae. The record is from RefSeq and is a predicted model, not a curated record. The transcript is spliced from 4 exons.
GCAAGAACAAUGAUUUUGGAGCCCCCCAAAAUAGAGGGUGGCCCCAAGCCUCUGUUAAUGUGACCCAGGGCCCUAGCGCCUCUUUAGAGGCUAUAUCUCUGGCUUAUGCAUCCAAGCUUUCAUACAAUGGAAACUUCCGAGUCUUUUUAUGACCCACAGGUGCCUAGCUUCAAAUCCCAGCUCUACCAGCCCUCUGGGACUGUUGUGAGUCAUUUAUCCUCUUACACAGGAGGAUAAUAGUCCUUCUACCUCCUAGGGCACUCUGGAAACACUUGGCACAGAGCUGGGCACAUAGCGAGCCACACAUGAAAGUUGGUACUAUUAUUAUUAUUGCCCUAUUUUUCCCGGCUAUGUUGGAGACCUUGGAAUUUUCACUAAGGGUGACUAAUUUAUCCUCUAAACUGGGACAAUGUUAAGCAUGAAAGUGGUUGCACGGAAUUACUGCCUCAUGGGGAGACAGCCUCCCAGGUGGCCCCACUUCCUGAUGUUCUUAUCCUCAUGUGUUCUGCAUGGAAGAGGGCUGCCUGCAAACAAUAAGACAUUGUGCAAAGGGCAGGGUGUGACUUCCCCCACACAAGACACUAGCUCCAGCUCGCUCUCUCUGGGACACUUGUAGGACACUCUGUGGCAAGACCGGUAAUAGGGACUUGAGGGCCCCUGCUGUUGACCAGGGUUAACACACCAGUCACACUUGCCAACUUGCAAGCAGAACCUCCAGCCCUCUUCAAGCCUUCUAUGACAUCCUGACUGCAGUCUCAUGGGAGACCCCCAAACCAGAACCACCUAUCCAGCCGCCGCUGAACUCCUGGCCCACAGAAACUGGCUCUGGGAUGGCAGCUCCCUCAGCACCUAGAUCUGUGCCUACCUGGCCCUCCGCAGGGACUCAGGAACCUGAGGGUGAGCUUUGCUGGUCUCGGAAAAUGACUCCAAAUGUGCAAUUUGUUCCCAGGAACGGGGGUGUGUGAGUGAAAUGGCUCCUGGUCGCAGCGAGCAAACUCCAGAAUCUUCUUGGCCUCAUCCACACAUAUGACAUUGGAAGCCUCCAGCUCGAGCUCAAGACUUUAGGAGCCCUCCUCUCAGGGGGGCGGAGCCUCAAGUGCGACCACUUCAGAGCACCCACUCUCGGAGGUGGGCCCACCGUGGUUCAGUGGAGAUGCCACCGCCACCAUGAAGCCCUCCUAUAUUCCCCCCAGGAUACCGAGCCCUCAGCAGGGUUAACCCCUCCCUGCCCAGGCUCCUCUGCUGACUGCUGGACUCAGUCGAUGGUACCUGGUUGGGCUGGGCUUCUGUUCAGAUGAAUGUAAAGCAAGUGAAGCUGAAGCUUUGGGGACCCUCACUGGCACAACCCCCUUCCAAAGCCAGUCCCUAAUUUUGUAUUCAUGAUCCCCUCAAAUUGUAUACACUUGGGUCCCACAGAGUUGGGUCCACUCCCGUUUUCAUCCCCACCCAGCUUGAGGUCAGAGCCUCUCUCCUGAACAGUUGUGGUAGGCAAUUUCUCCUCCCCUUCCACCUCCCCUAGGCCCCGGUUGGUCUGGCACCUGGGCCAGAUGGACCCAGAGACAAGGUUUCUCCAUCCACCUGCCCCACUUGGGGUCUCUGUGACCUCUGCUCUCCCCUCUUGGGUGACCAGCCCAGGCCUGCUCUCUGGCUCCCAUGUCACUCAUCUGAAACAAAAUUGGACUUCCUCUCUCCCUUUCUUCCCUCCCCCUCUUCCAUACCUGCCCGAGGGGCCUCCCAGGAACGCUGUGGGUCCUUAGUUUGCAAACCCCCAGCUCACAGACCUAGGAGAGGCCUGGGUUCGAAUCCUAGCCCCAUGCCUGGCAGCUGUGUGCCCAGGGGCAUCACCCACUCUUCAUCCUUAGGAGAAGUGCCUUCAAGUCCCUGGCACACGGGGGACUCAGGAAAGGCCCGAGGAUGGCCUUCUGAGACCCUCACACAGGCAGGUCCCUUGGCGGGCAGGGGGUUUCCCCCAGAUGGGGGCCAAGCCCUCCCGCUCCCACCCAGGCCCUGCAGACUCCCUCCCAGCAGCCACUCGGCUUAUCCCGUGACUCUUAUACCUGCUGGUUCAGCAGACAGACAGCCCGAGCCUUCCCAAGUUCUCUCUGUGGGCUCCACCCGGAGCCUUCUUGCCAGAAUCCUCUUUCACUUCCUGAUUUUGGGGUCAAUGACAUCUCAGGAUUUCUGCCAUUCGGGCUUUUCUCGGAAGCAAAUCUGGGCUCUGGCUCCAUCGUGAGUCUUGGGCAAGACGGGAAGUUAUGAGGGGGAGAAGGUAGGUGCGGAGCAGCAGGGGGAGUCAGGGGAAGCCGAGGCGAGGGAAAGACUGCUUUUCCCACACCUGUGACUGCCUUGAGCUGGAGGGCUGGUGAGGAUCACAAAGUCCCCUGCGUGGCCACAGGGAAGAGCACAGUGGAGCUCUGUCAGCCCCCUAACUUCCUGGCUGUGCAACCCCGGGCCAGUCACCUAAGCCUCUCAGGGCCCCAGUUUCCCCAGCUGGAAACUGGUGACUAAGGAAGGUGCAAACCCAUGCAUCCCGCUCCUCAUGUGCCAGGCUUCGCUGGUAGACUCCUCUUGCAACAACGCUAGGAGGCGAGUGUGUUUAUGGUACACGAAUCCUGGGCUGCAAGAGGAGUAGGGAGGGCGCUGCUGGCAGGCGCCCUGGAUGGUGUCUAGUGAAGGGCAAGCCCUCAGGAGGUCCUGGCUCUCAUCGUUUCUCAGCAAUGUGAAUUCCAAAGAGCUGGUCUGUUUAGCCAAACCUCUGGGAGCAGGUGGAGUCAGGCAACGAUUGCUGAGCAGCUCCUGUGUUCCAGGCCUGGAAAUGCGACACAGGCCUGGAGCUGAGAGAUCGCAGCGGAGGCCUCCACUUCCCUUUUGCUGCCUUGCUGGAGCCAGGCGGCCUGGCUGGCCAGAGAAAGGCCUGAAUGGGGUGGGUGGUGAGGCCUGGCUGUUCGGCGCGCCUCUAGCGCGGUCAUCUGGUUUCCAGGCUCCUCUGAGUGCAUCCACAAGUUGGCUGUGUCCAUGUGACGGUGUGAAUCGCCUCACCGACUCUUAACCUCCCUCAUCAAAUGCCUCCCUCGACAGACCUCUGGACCUGGCUUUGCAGUGUUACUGUUGAGAGCAGGGUCAAGAGCUUAGCUCUCCCUCACCAGCUGGGUGACCCUGGACUCGUCUCCUAACUUCUCUGGGCUGUGGGUCAUCCCUUGUAAAGUGGAGAUAAAGCCGCUUUGCAGGCGAUGUGCGUUUUUAAGCCGUGCCUGGCGUCUAGUCAGCUCUGCUCCAUUGUCCU